This is a non-coding RNA of Cucurbita pepo subsp. pepo (vegetable marrow), 494 nucleotides long. The record is from RefSeq and is a predicted model, not a curated record. Lineage: Eukaryota; Viridiplantae; Streptophyta; Magnoliopsida; Cucurbitales; Cucurbitaceae.
UUCUAUUAGGCUCUUUCUUUCAAACUCCUCGUGGGUUGAAGAGAGUUCUAUGAAUUAUGCUUGUGAUAUUCUGGUUGUUGUAAGAAAAUAUUUUGCUUUUGAAGCAGAGGAAAGUGGAAAAUGCUGCCAUGCUGCGCCAAGAGCUAUAUCUGCAUCUGAUCCACAAAUCCUUUUUUAGUAGUUUGUCCUCAAUGCUGAGUUUUCUUGUGUGUUUGAACCAUAUCUUGCUAGUAUAAAGCAUGUCAAUCCAAAUCAUGGCAAGCAUCUAGUACCAAAUCUUCGUCUUAGCAACUACGGCGGGCUUUGAUUGCCUGGAUCUCCCACCUUUUCAGUACCCAAGCAAGUUGUUCAUAAGUGAAGAGUUUGGUCCACAUGAAGAGUUUCGUCCAUCCACCUACUUAGUUGUUGGGCAGUGUAUUUGGUCAUUUUUUUUCCCAGACUAUAUACGUGAGAUCCCACAUUGAUUGGAGAGGAGAACGAAGGAUUCUUACAAG